This is a long non-coding RNA of Dama dama (fallow deer), 7624 nucleotides long. RefSeq lists it as uncharacterized. The transcript is spliced from 19 exons. The record is from RefSeq and is a predicted model, not a curated record. Lineage: Eukaryota; Metazoa; Chordata; Mammalia; Artiodactyla; Cervidae.
GGUGGGAGUGUGUGUGUGUAUGUGUUUGUGUGUGUGUGUUAGAAGGAUUUCUGGCCACUAUUGGUGAUACUGGCCAAAUUGCAAGUACUAACCUCUUUGCUUAUGGGGAGGAGGGGAGUGACUCUGGUUACUUUGUUUAAGAAAGAAUGAAUAUAUUUUACAGCCUGUUGUAAAAUAUAUUUUAUUUGGCUUGGGGCUUGUUUGACUCAGGGAAGCUUUGCAGUUGUUUCCAUUUUCAUUGCUUUGAUGUGACCUGACCUGUGCUGGUGUUUGGAUUCAAAACCUGGAGUUGGAUUCUAGACUCUGCUGCUCACGAGCUCUGUGUCCUUGAAUAAACUCCUGAACUCCUUCUGGGCCUCACUUAUUUAGCUGGGUGAAGGAGACAGUUCCUGCCUUCCCUAUCUCUUAGAGCAUUUCAUCUGGCUCCAAAGACAGAAAGUGCUUAUGAAGGAGGGGAAGGGGGAAGUACUAAUAAAUUUGCCUAAGGACUUUUGGGAUUUUCCUGGGAAGGAAGGAACCAAAAUCUCAAUCCUUUCUUAGUCAUUUCAGGCUAUAGAAACCUUUAGGGUGGGCUGAGUGAUCUAUAGGAGUAUAAAAAGUCCUCUAUGAAAGCACUCAGGGUAGAAAGAGGUAUUGGAUGUGAGCCGAGGUGCUGGAUGUUGCCUUGUUCCAAAAAGCAAAGGAUUUGGCCUGGAGCAAAUGGCCCAGGUGGGUGAAUCUGGAAAGAUGGCAGUUGCGAGCCCAAGUCACAUUUGGCAUGUGGUGUCCUUAGCCAAGAUAACGCUGAGUAGGGAUCCCUCCUUCUUUUUAUCUGAAGGUCCAUAUUGCUCUGUUUGGUGGAAGAGGAGUGUUCUCUAAAACUGAGUGCUAUCAGUUUCCCCCUCUAAUAAGAAAUAUCUUAAAACAUUCCUUCUCUAUCUUGAAAUGAAAGUCAUAGAUGAUAGCACAUACACACUUAUAAUCUGCAAAAAAUAAUCAUCAUAAUAUCCUAAGUAUAAUAUAAAGAAAAAGUGGACACCAAUUUGUAAUAAAGCAGUAGGGCCCAACUAUACCAGAAGACGCAAUACAAAGUCAGGUAUUAUAUGUGUAGAAUCUCUGUGAGCUCAGUGGCCACAUAUACCAACCGGUACAGGUACAGUGGGCUAAAGACUGCCAUAUUACAAGUGGCUUAGCUGUCAGUGAUAUGAUUUUCUGAAAUAGUGGUCCACAACACUUGAUGUUCCAAACACACCCAAUAAUUUUCUGUUUACUGGACAUGAUAGCUGCAUUCCUGGAGAUUUCAGUAUAAGUUAAAACCUUGCCAAGACCUUGUGUGCUUAUACAUAAAACAGAGUCUAAGCUCAGAUAACUAUAAACAGGGGAGAAAACUUGUAUGCUUGGUGGAGUAUUUUUGGGUGUUUGAGUCAUGUAGGUCAUAGUUCUUGAUGAGUAAGAGGUAUUACCUGCUUUGCAGGAUGUCUAGAAUCCCUGGCCCUGCCCAAUAAAAGCUGGUAACAUACCUUCAGUCAUUGUGACGACCAAAAUGUGCCCUUCUAAUUUUAAGAUACCCUCUGGAGGUCAUGCCAUUCUUAUUGAGAAGCGCUAGGGUAGAGGUCAAGCUUACCUCCACUGCUCUAGAGACAGUCGGAAGUGACCAGGCCUUCCAGUGAAGGCAUUGAUAGCCAAUGGAAGACUUUACUGAGCUUCAUGGGAUCCCAGGUGUAUUAGCUUGGACUCCCAUAACAAAAUACCCCAAACUAGGUGGCCUAAAUACCAGGAAUUUGUUUCUCAGAGUUCUAGAAGCUGGGAAGGCCAAGAUCAAGGUGCCUGCUGAUUUAGUGCCUCUCUUCCUGGCUUACCUUCUCUCUGUGUCCUCACAUGGCAGAGGGGGAGUUCUGGUCUCUCUUCCUCUUCUUUUUUUAAAUAUUUAUUUAUUUGGCUUUGUCAGUCUUAGUUGCAGCACAUGGGCUCUCCAUUUGUGCACACAGGCUUAGUUGCUCCAUGGCAUGUGGAAUCUUAGCUCCCCUAUAGGGACUGAACCCACAUCCCUUGCAAGGUGGGUUCUUAACUACUGGACCACCAGGAAAGUCCUUCUCUUCCUCUUCUUACAAGGACCUUAAUGCCAUCGUGGAGGCUCCAGCCUCAUGACCUCAUUUAAACUUGAUUAUCUGCCAAAGAUCUUACCUCCUGGGCUUCAAUGUUUGAAGUUUGGGGUGAUGCAAAUAAUAAGUCCAUAGCACCAGGUUUCCAGCCUUUGUUUUCUAAAACAACCAUCUUCUGUUGGAAGCUGUUAUGGUCUUCUGGGGUCAAAGGAGACAUUGGAGUUCUGGUUCUAGGGGUUACCUAGGAGCAAGCAGGAUGAACAGACUGCUUGUUUAUGAGGAAAUGCCUGGGAAGUUCUUAAAUCCACUGGAGUGGGCAGGUACUGGAAAGAGAAUGUAGACAUUCUGUUCUUCUGGACAACUGGAGUUCCAAUCAACUCAUGUUUAAGAGCCUGUACUCGGGAGUUAGAUCUGGGUUUUAAUCCUGUUUCAGUCAUCUGGUAACUGUGUGACCCUGGGCAAAGUACUUAGCAGCCUGAGUUUCAGCAUGAAAAUGGGCAUAGACCUGUCUUGAAGAUUGGUGGUAAAGAGUAAUGAGAUCUGCUAGUAAAAAGCUUCGUAGGAUUUCAGGCACAUAGUUAGCAUACAUUAAUUUGUAUUGCUGCUUAAGGUCAUGCAGUCAUCCUUUGAGGACUUAUUUUUGUGGGGAAAAGCAUUCAUCACAGCUGAGGUUGCAUAGAACAACUCUGAUGAGGUAGAGCUCCAUUUCUACAGAAAAAGUGAUGGAAAUCUUUCUAGAAAGUAAUUCAGGGGGUAAACAAGCCACCUCUGGUUCAUAUUGCAUGCAAUGUUUUAAAUACGAAAGCAAGCAUCUUCCCUCCUACCCUUAAUACAUAAGGAAAUUUCUGCUUAAUGCUUCAUACUCAGUCCCAAGGGACUACCCAGAACAUUAUGAUCAUUUAUACAAUAAUCUUUAUACAGUUGGAAAUAUAUGCAAUGGCUGCCUUGGAAUUACAGGUUUGCCAUCUCAUGUUGACUUGUCCCUAGCUAAGCAGAGUUAGAACCAAUUACUACUCUGUUUGGAAAAGGCCUAGAACAGAUAUUCAUGGGAUUCUUCCUUAUCUAUACUAUUUCCCCUCAAAGUGAAUAUUAAUGUGUGCUUGUGUUGAUGCAAAACAAACACCAGGUCCUCUCAUGCACACACAUUUCCCUGGGACAAAUCACUGAGAAAAACUGUUGGGAUGUAUUUAAUGAAAACAUUUUGCUAGCUCAGAAAUUCUUAAAGAGAUCCAGCUUUCUUAUGGAAAACAACCCAGGAUUCUUAGAGAAAACAUUGAAGGUUGGAGAAGUGUUCUUUUCCUUUACCAGUCUUGUUUUGCCAGAGAAGAUGCUGUGACUGUCUUCUUCACUGAAGAGUGAAAGGAAGUUUUGAUUGUAUGCUUCUAUCAGUCCACAGACACUUUUUCAAACUUGUUUUUCUGCAUAACAUUAAGUCAAGUCCUUUUCUUAUAACUCUCUUCUUUCAUAAAGACUUUAAGACAAUUAAAAAAUGAGAAUAGGGUUUCCCUGGUGGUCCAGUGGUUAAGAAUCCACCUGCCAAUGGAGGAGACAUGGGUUAGAUCCUUGGUCUGGGAAAGAUCCCACAUGCAGUGGAGCAACUGAGCAAUACACGGCAACUACUAAGCCCCUGAGCUGCAUACUGAAGCCCGUACACCAAGAGCCUGUGCUCCGCAACAAGAGAAGCCACCAUGAUGAGAAGCCCACACGCUGCAACGAAGAACAGCCUCCAACUGCUGCCACUAGAGAAAGCCCACACACAGCAACAAAGACCCAGCACAGCCAAAAAUAAUCUAAAAAAGGGAAGGAACAAAAGACAGGGAACAAACGACGUCUGUAUAUGAAGAAAUGACAGAUGACCAUGGAUUAAGUGCCAACCUUGAUGAUUUACACAAGAAGGCCAAAGCAACUCAAGGAAGAGUGAGACCCCUAGAAUAUUUCAUGGAGGCCCCACGAUUGAUACAGAGGACUGUCAUAUGAACCAGAGAGGGUACCUGAAACCAAAGAAAAGACUCUAGUGUGUAGCCAAAGGCAUGCCUCCAGGGGUGAGAAGGAGCAGAUAUCUUGACAAACAGGGCAUCAGACCAGCUGUGCGUGGUCAGCCUCUGAUUUGGGCCCAAAAGGAAAAGAAAAUCAGAGGAGACAGUGACUCUCAGACUCUUCCUUGUUAAUGAGCAAGAGUUCCCUGGAUCCAAGAGCAGAAAGCUCUGGCUUAUGCACUCAAAAAGCUAGAGCUGACCCAGAAGUUACACUUAGAGAAUGAAAAGAAGGAGGAAGAACCUCUUAUAUAACUUGAAGAGUAUAAAGGAUCCAAUGAUAAAAACCACUGCCGUGAACUUUUCUGAAGCAUAAUAAAUCUCUGCAUAAGACUCUCCAUCCAUUGCCAAGAUCCUCAUUUGGGAGCCAUGUGGGAAGAGGACUGAAUUGGAAAUCAGACUCAGGGUCCUGCCUAGCUUUCUUCCAGAUGAUCCCACCAAUCAGCCAUCUGGUCUCAGAGGAAUACAUGGCUUCCUCCUGACUUCUUUGCAUUUUCCCAGUGCCUUUGAUUUGGGAAAUACUAUAAGAAUGAUGGCUGCAUGUUUCAGUGUUGGGAAUUCAUGAAACAGAACAGGGAUUCUCAACAUUUCCUGAAAUUUCAAAACUCAGAAGAAGAUUUAAAAAAAAAAAAAGAAUAUUCAACUAAAUAUUCAUUUGUUAGCCCAGCACUGGAAGGACCCAGCCCUAAAUAAUAACUGGUGGGUUGACUGGAAGGCUGAAGGCAGAAUCAUCUGAAGGGCACUCACGUGUCUGGUAGCUGACGCUGACUGUUGUCUGGGACCAACGUGGGGCUGUGGCUGGAAAACCUCCAUGUGGCCCUUCCAUAUGGCUGCUCAUCUUCCCCGCAGUAUGGUGGCCAGGUUCCAAAGGGGAAAAAAGAAAAAUGAACUCUAUCCCUUGAUGGGCAAGUAGCAAGUUCUACAAGAGCAUAUGGGACUGGAAAUACUAAUGUGGCCAUUUUUGGAAAAUACAACCCGGCCCAGUAAGUCCUCUCUUUACUGACGUGAUCUGUACUAUACAGCUGCAGAGCAGAGAUGGAAAACAGCCCAGGGCUGCUUGGCUGCCCAGCUGAAUAGUCCUUGGUUCCCACUGUGGCAUACACACAAGAAAACAUAUUAACACUGGACUAAUCACCAGGCCCCUCUAGCUGGAACUCUUGAAAUAAAGGAACAGCUAUUAACAAUUAAUUAUGGUUAGAGGAUAUGAAUGGGGCUUGCCUCAUAAAAGUGGAAUUUUUUGUGUGUAGAGCCACAUAGGAUACAAAAAUAUCAACAGAUAGAGGAACAGAAGAAACAAAGGCACAGAUGCUUGAAGCUGUCUGGCACACUUCAGGAUGAAUCAAGAAAGUGUGGGAAAUGCAUGCAUGGAGGAUGCAAGACUUUGAUUCUGUCAAAAGGAAAGAAUGAGAACAUGAUAAAUAAGGCAGAAGAAUUGCUUUGACUGAAGAUUUCAAAACUAUACCUCCCUCUUCCUCUGUAUUUUGAACAUGGUUCCAUAUACAUCUGACAGCUAGAAGUUGGUGAUGACUUUUUCUGCAGUGCCUAAAGGAGCAACAAAAGAUGGAUCAGACUUCCUGCCUCCUUCAAGUAUCUCACUAUCCUGCAGAGAAUGUUCUGCCUCUCCUUCCUCCAAUAUUCUCCCUUCUGACGAGAUCACCAAUUUUAUUAAAAAAAAAAAGAAAAGGAAGGGUGGUAGUGUCAAGCCAAGGUGGUGGAGGUCUAAAAGUUUCCCAGCCCUCACUCCAGUUACUCUUGCCUGGAAAAUUCCAUGCACGGAGGAGACUGUAGACUACAGUCCAUGGGAUUGCACAGAGUCAGACACAACUUCACUUUCAGCCCCUCCGUGAGCCCAUAAGAUUCAAGGAAGACAGUCUAACCAACAGAAGAAUCAUUCUUCAGUUUCUGCCACAUACCAAAACAUCAACUGUUGAGCCCCCACCACUCCUUGAGAAAAGUGAUGUCAUCAAUCUCAUUCAACUUGUAUCAUUAGUACCUGGAUCUACAAACAAACAAACAAAAAUCUCAAUGCCUAUUUGUUGAAUGGAUGAAUAGAUGGAUGAAAGGCAUCUUAGAGGUCAGCUAGUCCAACGUCUUCACUUUUAGAGAUUAUUUCUCUACUAGAAAUAAACUGCAAAAAAUUAAACCAUUAUGGGCAACCUAGCACUUUUGUGUGAGUGGGUGUCUAUGGCAUAUGAAGCUGAAACAAAGGAGGUAUACACUAACCUUUUUUGAGCAACACCACCACAUUGCCUUGCAUAAUGAACACUUAUUUUCACCUGGAGUCUACCAAUCACCAGAAUCACUGAGAGCACCGGUUAUUUUUAUGUGCUUCUGUUCUCUCCUCUGUGUUUUACAUCUGAUUGCUCUGCUGUUUGACAAGGAAUUUUGCCACACGGUAGGCGCAGCAUCUGAGAAAAGCUCCUGUUCCUGUGGGGUGACAUCUCUGCUUCUGGGCAUAAGGUGAGGAGGCAUCUGGUGACCUCUCUGCUUGUGCUGCCUGGUACCCUGAGGCUGUGGAGAAAUGACUGUGCGAUCGUUCACCUUGGCUCAGCCUGAGAGCUACUGUGACAGAUUUAUUGGCUCUGAAACAUUUAUCCAAGCAGAACCUUUAAACCAAUAUACAUUUCACUCACACACACUCUAGGGAGAGGGGGAGGAGAAGUCUAAGGAGUUGAACUCUGCAGAGAUAUAAGUCCACCCCUCACUUCACUCUUACAAAUUUGAGAAAUGAAAUGCAUCAUUUCUUCCAACCUCAGGUGUGUCUCUUUUUCUAACCAGUUUUUCUCAGUCAGGUGGUACAGAAAAAAAGCGCAUUAAUAAAAGGAAAUUAAUGAGGUCACUCAAUCAACUACUAUCUCAUUAUUUGUUUUGUAAGAGAAAAUAUUGAAUAGUCUAUGGUUCUUGCCUCUAAGAAACUUUCAAUCUGCUUCAACUCUGGUAGGAAUGGAGGAUGGAGAAAAUGGUUUGAAUUUAUAAAGGAAGGAAUUGAGAGCAAUAAGGAAGAACAUAUAAGGAAAAAUCAGUAAUAAUAUUAUCGCUAUUUUCUUGAUGAGAAAAAUAAAAACUUAGAGUGAAUAUAUGACUUAGCAGAGCUUCAGUUCAGUUUAGUCACUCAGUUGUGUCCGACUCUUUGCGACCCCAUGAACCGCAGCACACCUAUUCAAGAAUAAAUAGUAAACAGUUCAAACUCUGGUUCCAGUGUCAAAGGUCACGUAUUCUCUACUGCACUUGCUGGUAGUCUUCUGACCUGACUAAUGCAGGUUUUUAGUUCCAACUAGACACCCUGUAGUACACAGAAGGAUGUCUGUGUUGGAUAGGACCCAAGAGCUAGGGGUUGUGGUUUUUAAACACACAACUAGAAUACCUUUCCCUUGGGUCUGUGAAAGGUGAGGAGGUAGAACUGUGAAAUUCAUGCAUAAAGCUAGGACUGAGAAAGAACUGCUCUCACUGCAGAAGGUGACUAUGAUGCUUCGUUCACUUAUGACAAAAGCAACUGGCAAAGUUCUCACU